GCCGCAGCGCCAGCGCAGGCCGUGCUGCCACCGGAGCCGCUCAGCCGGCACCCGCGCCCCGGCCCGGCCUCGCCGCCCUGGCCGCCAUGCCCUCGGACCGGCCCUUCAAGCAGCGCCGCACCUUCGGGCUCUAGGAGCUGGGCAUUCAGAAAUCCUGCCAGACAUUAAACAUUUUAUAAUGAAGUUGUAACAAUGAAAUGGAUAGUCCUGCAGACCUCAUCACUUGCUCCACGUUCAUGUUGGUAAUACCUUCCUGUGACAGUAGAGCACCAGGCUCUACCUACACCACGUUGCAGAGACAUGCUUUGUAUCAGACAUGAAGUUCAAACCAGUGCAGUUUUGGUCCCAGGUCAUUCAUUGUGUCCAGAGCAGACAGAAGAAGUAAAAUACAACCAACGAUCAGAAUCACUCUCAGGUUUCUGCAUUGCUGCUGUCCUGUGUACCCUGACAACACCCUUUUCUUAGCAGCAAGGACAGCUUUCCCAGGACACAGCUGGCCUCCCGAGCUGUGUCCUCCUUUCCUGGAUGUGGAGUCUCCUCUUGCUCCUCCUGCAGUGCCACAGGCCUGUGAACCAGCCCUCCAGCACUGGGCAAGGACAGGUCAAGUCAGCUGUGGUGUGAGCCAUGGACACAUACAUGGGGUGCACUUCCUGAUGGUGAGGGGUGGUGAGACCACUUCCUGCUCGGCCUUUGGGUGGUGUGAGACCACAAAAAUAUUUAUUGAUGUUCAUCUGGAAUGACCCGCAUAACUUCCCUGUGUCUUCAGCAGUUGCCAGCUCAUCCCAGACAUACCUGAUUUCAAGCCAUCCAGUCCAUGCUCAACUGGUAGCAGGUCGAUGACGUUUCCAGGUGGUGUUUUUUCUUCAUGGUGUUUUCUUAACAGCAUUCCUGUUGGUCACAGACAACAGGGCUGGUUGUAGAGUCCAUCCACUGCCCCAGGGCAGUACUAGUGUUUGUCCAGUGUCUCCUGAAAAAUGCUGUCCAUCACACAACUGCAUUGCUGGAGAACUUGCCAUGUGUUUUCCUUCUGUUCCACCCUCUGUACUUUUUUGUCUGAUUAAACUCUUUUGC
Molecule: long non-coding RNA, 1071 nt
Filed under: Strigops habroptila (Kakapo)
Lineage: Eukaryota; Metazoa; Chordata; Aves; Psittaciformes; Psittacidae
Description: lncRNA (ENSSHBG00005009116.1)
Source: RNAcentral